CUCAGCUGGCUGGUCACAAGGCUGGUUGCAGUCGGGAUGCGGUAGACCUAGAGAAUCUACUACCAAGACAGGUCAUCCCCAUGGUUGGCAAGGAUGAGUGCUGGCGAUUGGCAGAAGCCCUCUGUUUCCAUCCGUGUGGAUCUCUUUGUUAGGCUACUUAUGACAUGGCAGCUCACUCCCCAAGAAUCAGUAACCAAGAGGGAGUAAAGCAGAAGUCUUUUGUGAUCCAGCCUCUGAUGUCACACUCUUUGUGGUUGUAACAUCCUGUGGAGGAUGCAAGAUAGGGAGGACUGUCUAAGGUCAUGAAUGCCAGCGUGGGGCCAUCUUGGAGGCUGUGUGUCACAGCAAGCCUUACAGAGUCAGCCAGCAAUGGAUUUGCACGAUCAAAUCCUACCCUAGUCCGAGAUAACAGAAGAAGCUGAAAAAUGAUGUUGGCCAAGCUGUCUCUCAAGAUUAAAACUGGGGAGGGAGGCGAAAUGGGUUAAUUAAUAUCCUCCAAAAUUCAUGUGUCUUUAUAAGAGAUGACAGAGAGACAUAGAAAAAGAGCAAAAGGGAAGAUGGAGGCAGAGAUAAGAGUGACCCUCUACCAGCCAAGAAGGACUAAGGACAGCUGGUGGCCACCUGAAGCCAGGAGAGAAACACUCAGAGCCUUCAGAAAGGACCAACCCUCACCGACACUCCGAUUUCAUGCUCUGGACUCCUCAAUUGUGGGAGAAUAGAUUUUCGUUAUUUAAAAUCAUUUGGUUUUUGGUCAUUUGCUAUGACAGCCUUAGGAAACUGAUGGAGAAUAAAAAUAAAAUCUUGGAAAGAU
Non-coding RNA from Ictidomys tridecemlineatus (thirteen-lined ground squirrel), 811 nucleotides. Lineage: Eukaryota; Metazoa; Chordata; Mammalia; Rodentia; Sciuridae. The record is from RefSeq and is a predicted model, not a curated record.